Molecule: ribosomal RNA, 135 nt
Filed under: uncultured bacterium
Lineage: Bacteria
Description: partial 16S ribosomal RNA
Rfam family: Bacterial small subunit ribosomal RNA
Source: RNAcentral
UGGGGAAUCUUGCGCAAUGGGCGAAAGCCCGACGCAGCAGCGCCGCGUGCGGGAAGAAGGCUUUCGGGCUGUAAACCGCUUUCAGCAGGAACGAAAAUGACGGUACCUGCAGAAGAAGGAGCGGCCAACUAUGUG